GGGGCAUGAAAGAGGUGAUGGGCGGAGUGUGGCCGCAGUAUCGGUAUAUAAGACAGGCUGGGAUGGGUAGCCGUCAUUCGCAUCCCAGUUACUCCUUCAUUCACUCCCCUCACUCACACAAGAAUUCGUAGUCAUGAGGUGCCUACUUAUGGUGGUCUGCCUGGCUGUCAUGGCGGUCGUGGCUCAGGCUUGCUUAGGCGGCGCAUUUGGUUCUGGAUGGUGCAGUGGUGGUUAUGGCGGCUAUGGCAGACACGGUGGACUUGGUGGCUUUGGUAUUGGAGGCGGCCAUGGCAGAUAUGGCGGAUAUAGCGGACUUGGCGGACUUGGCGGCGGCUUUGGUUUUGGAGGCGGCCAUGGUGGGUAUCACGGCGGAUAUGGCAGUACUGGCUAUUAUGGCGGGUUUGGAGCCGGCUUUGGAGGCGGCCAUGGUUGAUUUCACGGCGGUUAUGGCGGUAGAUAUGGUGGUUACGAUCAUGGUGGGUAUGGUGGUUGAUAUGGUGGCUAUACGUAUGGAAAGUAAGGCACCAUACAACACACACACCAUGUCGCGACACCCCUACACACCAUAACUAUGUGAAAGAUACACCCACUCCUGUGUUCGACAUGUAAGGAAUCAAAUAAAGUAUUUCACUAUUUAUGUUUUC
Long non-coding RNA from Scylla paramamosain (green mud crab), 644 nucleotides. RefSeq lists it as uncharacterized. The record is from RefSeq and is a predicted model, not a curated record. The transcript is spliced from 2 exons. NCBI's taxonomy places the organism in Eukaryota, Metazoa, Arthropoda, Malacostraca, Decapoda, Portunidae.